This 500-nucleotide ribosomal RNA is filed under the name uncultured bacterium. RNAcentral's name for it is "partial 16S ribosomal RNA". It matches the Rfam family "Bacterial small subunit ribosomal RNA", at positions 28 to 507 of the family's 1533-position model. The record is from RNAcentral.
GACGAACGCUGGCGGCGUGCUUAACACAUGCAAGUCGAACGGAAAGGCCUGCUUUCCCUUGUGGAUUGCGGGUACUCGGGUGGCGAACGGGUGAGUAACACGUUAGUGAUCUGCCCCCAACUUGGGUAUAAGCCGGGGAAACUGGGUCUAAUUUCCGAUAGGACUGCAGGGUGGUGCCGGCGGUGGGAUACGAUUUUCUAGUGGUUGGGGUUGAGCACGCGGCCGAUCAGCUUGUUGGUGGGGUAAUGGCCUACCAAGGCGACGAUGGGUAGCCGGUCUGGGAGGGAGAGGAGGCACGGUCGAAUUGAGACACGGUCCCGACUCCGACGGGUGGGAGAGGUAGGGGUGAGUGAUAGUAGAGCGUGGGCCUGAGCCAGCUAUGGCGACGGUGUGUAGAGGAUCGCCGCAUUGGGGAUCUAAUCUCCUUGGGAGGGAGGGGAGGAAGCUUAGUUGUAACGGUGUUGACGGUAGCGGUAGAAGAAGCACCGGCUAACUACGUG